UACGAAGGGGGCUAGCGUUGCUCGGAAUCACUGGGCGUAAAGCGCACGUAGGCGGAUUGCUAAGUCAGGGGUGAAAUCCUGGAGCUCAACUCCAGAACUGCCUUUGAUACUGGCGAUCUUGAGUCCGGGAGAGGUGAGUGGAACUGCGAGUGUAGAGGUGAAAUUCGUAGAUAUUCGGAAGAACACCAGUGGCGAAGGCGGCUCACUGGCCCGAUACUGACGCUGAGGCACGAAAGCGUGGGGAGCAAACAGG
Molecule: ribosomal RNA, 253 nt
Filed under: uncultured bacterium
Lineage: Bacteria
Description: partial 16S ribosomal RNA
Rfam family: Bacterial small subunit ribosomal RNA
Source: RNAcentral